AAGCAGGGGAUCGUAAGACCUUGCGCUUUUGGAGCGGCCGAUGUCUGAUUAGCUAGUUGGUGGGGUAAUGGCCUACCAAGGCUUCGAUCAGUAGCUGGUCUGAGAGGACGGCCAGCCACACUGGGACUGAGACACGGCCCAGACUCCUACGGGAGGCAGCAGUGGGGAAUUUUGGACAAUGGGCGCAAGCCUGAUCCAGCCAUGCCGCGUGAGUGAAGAAGGCCUUCGGGUUGUAAAGCUCUUUCAGCCGGGAAGAAAAGGUUGCGACUAAUAAUCGCAAUUCAUGACGGUACCGAAAGAAGAAGCACCGGCUAACUACGUGCCAGCAGCCGCGGUAAUACGUAGGGUGCGAGCGUUAAUCGGAAUUACUGGGCGUAAAGGGUGCGCAGGCGGCUCUGUAAGUCAGAUGUGAAAUCCCCGGGCUUAACCUGGGAAUUGCGUUUGAAACUACAAGGCUAGAGU
This 462-nucleotide ribosomal RNA is filed under the name uncultured ammonia-oxidizing beta proteobacterium. Its description in RNAcentral is "bacterial SSU rRNA". It matches the Rfam family "Bacterial small subunit ribosomal RNA", at positions 202 to 647 of the family's 1533-position model. The record is from RNAcentral. Lineage: Bacteria; Pseudomonadati; Pseudomonadota; Betaproteobacteria.